AGUGCAGUGGAAGGGACACAGGCUUCAGCAGCCCCAGAUUGGAUCUCCUGCCUAGACCCCUAUUGAAGAGUGACCUUGGGAACCCUGAUGUUGGCCAUGAGACCUUGCACAUUUAAAAUGAUGCUGAGAGUGAAGGAGAAUGAUAAGUGAACUCAGGAAGACAUGAUGGCUUCUGCAAUGACACUCAUAGAUGAAAUACAGAAUCCAGCUCCAACUCUUAGGAUUGGAAACUAAGCACAAACAAGUAAGCAAGAAAAAUGAGCGCUUCCUCACAUGUCUGGAAGGUUCCUGGCCUAGACUCAGCACCAAGAAAAGAGCGAGAGAAAAUGUCCCUGGCGCCCCAGGUGCAUGCCCUUUUCCAGACUCAAAGAAAUCUGCAGGCAUUAAUCUUCACAGUCCUCUCUGGUGGAAGACUGCAAGGGCAAGCCAGAGCUGAGCUGGAAUGAAAAGAUUCUGCCUGGGUGAAGUUCCUACGAAUACCUUUCCCACAAAUUGCAUCCUUUCCUCAAACUGUCUGGAUCAUUUUGUAACCCAAGUGGCUUUCAUCAAAACAAGGGCCUGCCACCAGGUGCUGACCAUUUAUUGACCCGUGAUGGAGCUGCACCUCCUCACUCUCCUCUGGGCCUCUGUGCCAACCUCUGUAGCCAGUGAAUGAUGGUGUCAUUUUCCAAGACAAAGAAGGUAAGAAAAAGAGCUGAUUUGCGGGAUGAGAUGGAGGAUGAAGAAAAAAUAUCAAUGUCUGUGAGGUAUCCAAACAGAGUAGGCUCAGCAGCUCCGGCAAGAGCUCUGGGCUGAGAAGGGAACGGAUUCUGCUGUACAGCAAAGCUGGCUCAAGUCCGGGGAGUGAAUUAAGAUCAGAGAGAGAGAGAGAGACUAUUCACACUGUAAAGAGAAGAGGGAUAAUUUCAGGUUCUUAACGAUGGCCAACACUUCACAAUCCAUCCCUUUCAUUUUUCUCUUCUGUUUUCAAGCUGGUUUGCAUCAAAAUGGUAAUUCUCUCCUUUUAGGAUUUUAAUGCCAGCUGCAGAGAAUUCUGUGUUUCUGUUUAUAAUUGUUUAAAGAUCUGAUUUUGAGAAUAGUAUCUUCAACAACUGUUUGCAACCACUUUGGAGAUCUGGUUGGAACAUAGUUUUUCUCUGUUAAAGCGAUUGUCUAUGGAGCAUCGCAGUCUCCUGAUAACUGGCACAUGGGUCUCCCACUCUACUCUGUCCUGUGGUAGGGAAGGGGCAGGAGGCUUUUCAUGACCUUCGAACCUAAAGGCAAGCAUACCUUUUGCUGCACCCAUAGCCUGUGGAAGUUCCUGAGCCACGGAUCAAACCCCACGCCAGCAACCCAGGCUGCUGCUGUGACAGUGCCAGAUCCUUAACCCACUGCACCACAAGAGAAUUCCUAUCAACUCUUAUACUUUCUAUGUUACAGGAUAAAUGGUCCCCUGGUCUGUUACAGAACAUUUAUUAAAGUUUUGACAUCCCAAACACCAAUUGAUAAUAUUUUUGUGCAUAGGCUUAUGUUUCUUUAAAAACCAUUUUCUUAGGACAGUGACAAAAUCCCCAAAGUUAUAUAAGGUAGAAAAAAGUGAUGUGAUCUUGAAAAGUAAUGAAAUAAAAUUGCUUCAGUGUUUAUCACUAUUGUGAUAAAAUGGUUACAUAAGACUUGAGAGUAUUUUUCCAUUUAUCACAGCACAUCCAUAAAUUUAUUCAUCAAACACUAGUGUUCCACGGCACGCGGUAUGAGAACCAUACCAUUGCGAUGUUUUGAUUGUCCACAAUUCCGUGUUCACCAUGUGGGACUCUGAUAUCAUUAAAUUUAAAAGGCAAUUGCAGAAAAGUAGAGAGGUGACCUCAGAAAGCUGGUUAGCCCUGUCCUUCAGAACUACUGGCCUUGUCCUUAGCACCCUUGGAGAAAGCAGGGCUCUGGAAGGCUAUGGACAGACCUUGCAAAGACUGCAAAAUAGGAGGCAGCUGGGCAGUGCUCUGGCAGCAGCUGCAGCAGUUAGAGUUGUAAGAGCGGUCAUUAGAUAGGCCACCCAGAAGGCAGAGUAGCCAAGCCACUGAUUGCAACCAGCCUAGUUUGCAACAGGGCCCACCGCCAUAUCACAGAUGUGAGGGGUGGAGGAGGCAGGUGCCACGUCCUGGCCUCAUCUCCCGCCGUGCUUGCAGAUGCCAGCGGCAGCAGCCAUGUUGCAGAACUGUGUUACUCUCCCUCUCUGAGAACAUGUGAAUGUGUGUAAUAUAUUGUUAAAGGAUAUCUUUUUAAAAGGGUAAAAUCUUGCUGUCCUACAGAUAUAAAAUGAACAUAUGUUUAAAUAUUGUGUUUAAAUCAAUAUAUGAGUGAACCAAUAAGACGUUAUGACUGGUUUAAAGAAUUCCAAGAAGCACACGGAAGUAGAGAUAAGGACUUUAGAAAUGCAUUUACUAAGAGAUGCAAGAUGUGUCCGCCCACUGUGCAAUAAUCAGUUAAUUUGCAUUUCUAUGGAUAUGAAUAAUUUGUAUUAUUGUCUGUGUUCUCCAAUUCACAGGGUUAUAAAAUAGCUCAAAGACAAUGAAAGAUAGAGAGAAUGCCGAAGGGUGAGUUGCUUAGAAUAUUUUCCAGUUCAUAGUAAGUUCAAUGUAAGUUUUAGUGAUAUUUAUUAUUACAAUAAUAGUGUAUUUAGAAUCAGACAGGCUUGGGUUUGAAUCUCAUCUCAGGCACUCACUAAUUGGGUGACCUUGGGCAAGGAAGUUCAUCUUUCUUAGCCCAGUUUUCUUAUCAGUGUGCCAUUAUUUGGGACUAGUGAGGAGUAACUGGAAUAUUGUUUGUAAAAUACUCCAUAGGGGGAUUAGCACAGAGUAAACAUUCAAUAGUGGUAGCAUUAUUUUUAUUACCAAAAUUGGCAAUUUUAAUAAUGCUGAAACUUCUGUUUAUAUCACUAGCCAUUGCUGUUUUCAUUAUUGGUGUAAUCAGCUAAAAUUUUUUUCUGAUAUAAUGUUUUAAAUCAUAAAUAGAUA
RNAcentral lists this long non-coding RNA (2987 nucleotides) under Sus scrofa (pig). RNAcentral's name for it is "lncRNA (ENSSSCG00005031549.1)". Lineage: Eukaryota; Metazoa; Chordata; Mammalia; Artiodactyla; Suidae. The record is from RNAcentral.